RNAcentral lists this ribosomal RNA (703 nucleotides) under uncultured eukaryote. RNAcentral's name for it is "SSU rRNA". It matches the Rfam family "Eukaryotic small subunit ribosomal RNA", at positions 1034 to 1750 of the family's 1831-position model. The record is from RNAcentral.
AAACGAUGCCAACCAGCAAUCCGCCAGAGUUCCUUAAAUGACUCGGCGGGCGGCUUCCGGGAAACCAAAGUUUUUCGGUUCCGGGGGAAGUAUGGUUGCAAAGCUGAAACUUAAAGAAAUUGACGGAAGGGCACCACCAGGAGUGGAGCCUGCGGCUUAAUUUGACUCAACACGGGAAAACUCACCUGGCCCGGACACCGUGAGGAUUGACAGAUUGAGAGCUCUUUCUUGAUUCGGUGGUUGGUGGUGCAUGGCCGUUCUUAGUUGGUGGAGUGAUUUGUCUGGUUUAUUCCGAUAACGAGCGAGACUCUAGCCUACUAAAUAGAUCGUCGGCUUACAAACGCCGACGAGACUUCUUAGAGGGACAGGCGGCGAUUCAGCCGCACGAAACAGAGCAAUAACAGGUCUGUGAUGCCCUUAGAUGUCCGGGGCCGCACGCGCGCUACACUGAAGUGAUCAGCGUGCUUUUUCAACCUACUCUGUCAAGAGUGGGGAACCCAAUGAACCUUCUUCGUGAUUGGGAUAGGGGAUUGUAAUUAUUCCCCUUGAACGAGGAAUUCCCAGUAAGCGCGAGUCAUAAGCUCGCGUUGAUUACGUCCCUGCCCUUUGUACACACCGCCCGUCGCUACUACCGAUUGAAUGUUUUAGUGAGGUCUUCGGACUGGCCGGUGCAGCUACUCUUGUAGUGGCAGCGCUGUGUUUG